Molecule: non-coding RNA, 23 nt
Filed under: Cricetulus griseus (Chinese hamster)
Lineage: Eukaryota; Metazoa; Chordata; Mammalia; Rodentia; Cricetidae
Source: RNAcentral
GAUCCUCACGGAAAAGGAACAGA